Molecule: long non-coding RNA, 3684 nt
Organism: Zingiber officinale
Lineage: Eukaryota; Viridiplantae; Streptophyta; Magnoliopsida; Zingiberales; Zingiberaceae
Exons: 3
Source: RefSeq, a predicted model, not a curated record
GUAUCAGAAUUGGAGAUCGUGAGGUUUAUCUGAGGAUGUGGAUGCUGAGGUUUAUCUCAGUUAAGCUUUGGAAACUUGAAGGCUUAUUCGAAAUGGAGCCUGCUUAAUGGCGACAGUGAGCAGUAGUACCGCCUCCCCAUCCACCAAACAACUCUUCCUGUCCGAAGGAUUGCAAGGGCCCAUCCUUCUUCCACUUCUUCAGAUCUCGGUUGCAAUCUCCGAUCGCACCUCAGCUGUGUCCAUAAUCCACCUUCUCUUCCUCCUGCUCUGUCGCGUUCUCUCUUGUCGGCGGCCCAUUGAAGCUCUAUUUCCCCUCCAAAGGUCACGUCUUGAUCAACUGCGGUGGCGACGAGAUGACAAGAUACUUUCUCUCUGACACUAUACCUGAUGCUUCGUCAUCCUUCCUGCUUUCGCCCAUUUCUGACGACGUUGUUCGAGCCGACUCAUCCGAUGUCUGCGGCAGCGCUAGGGUUUUUUGAGAAGCAGCCGAAUACAGGUUCCAUAUGAAGCAGAAGGGUCGGCGCUUCGUGAGGUUGUAUUUCUAUCCCAUCAGAAGUUCCCUUUAUGUCAUGAAAUUCGCAGCUUUUUCGAUUAUGGCGAAUGCUUAUACUCUCCUGCGUAACUUUUCUUAUUCAAAGACGGAUCUUGGUAAUAAUGCAUGUUAAAAGAAUACAUAUUCGAGUUAGAGCGUCUAUUGAUCAAAAUAGUUCCUUCGAAUGUUUCCAUCGCGUUCCUUAAUCUCAUAGAAAUCUUUUCGCUGCGGGAUGAUCUGAUACCUUCUGUUGCGUCCGUUGAGAUUCCAUCUCAUGUGGGAUGCAAGAUUGCAUUUACCAUCAAUGUGGGCGGUCCAAUUUUGGAUUCAAGUAAUGAUUCUUUAUGGAAACUAUGAGAGAAUGAUCAUCCAUUCUUGGUCAUUCCGACUUCUGUGCAGAACGCCUCAACUGAUCCCAUUUUGAUCAGAUAUACAUCGGAAAUCCUCUGACACGACACAUGAAACAGUAAAUGCAAUAUAGUCACCAGAAUUUCAACAUCUCUUGUCUGUUUUUGGUAGAAUUGGAAUUUCAAUAUUGCGGUUUCAUUUUUGUGAUUUUAUUACAACAGCAGCAAAUCUUCUGUUCGGCGUCUAAAUCAACAAUCAGUCUGCAUUAAGCUCCUUUGAUAUAUCAAACAAAGUUGGGAUAUUGAAAGCUUACUUUGUGGAUUUUAUUGCUGAUGUUCAAAUGUCUAUUCAGAUAGGAUUUUGAUUCAAAUAGGAACUUCUCAUGAUCUGAUGAACUUACCAGCUAAUGCAAUUAUUCUUGAUGGUCUGGAGAUCAUGAAAUUCAGAAGUUCAGACAUUUGUCUUUGCAGUAAGCCUGGUUGGAAUGCUGUUUCUACUUGUCAUUGUGGCAAUACUUGGCUUGUGCUUCAGAUAAGGUACAAAAAAGAAUCAGAUUUGGCUUGGUUUCUUUUGGCUGUAGCUUCAACUACUCACUCAGGCAACUCAGAUUGUAAUGUAUUGUCAGUGCCUUCUCAUGGUGUCAACCAGUUACUAGACUUUUCAGAGAUAUGAGAAGCAACCAAGAACUGUGAUGAAUGGUUGGUUGUCGGCAUUGACAGAUUUGGAAAGGUGUACAGAGGAGUAUUUGGAAAAGGACUCAUGGUGGCAGUGAAAAGGUGAAACCCCGGAUCUCAACAAAGUUUAAAUGAGUCGAGGAGAGAGAUUGAGAUAUUAUCCAAGCUUCCACAUCGCCAAUUGGUAUCUCUUAUAGGUUAUUGCCAUGAAGCUAAUGAGAUGGUGCUCGCUUAUGAAUUUAUGGCUAGGGGGCCCUCUAAGCAAGCACUUAUAUGGGGGUCAGACCUUCCAGCGCUGCCACUGAAACAAAGGCUUAAAAUAUGCAUCGGGAGGUGCUAAAGUUUUGCAUUACCUUCGUAUAAGUUACUGAGACUAUCAUCCACAUAGAUGUUUAGACAACCAACAUUCUCCUUUAUGAGAAUUUGACGGUUAAGGUAGCUGAUUUUGGUUUGUCUAAGAUAGGUCAUUCACUAGACCAGACUCAUGGGAGUGCAGCAGUAAAGAGAAGUUUUGGCUACCUCGAUCCUGAGUAUUUUAGAAGGCAGUUGCUAACAGAAAAUUCGGAUGCGUAUGCUUUUGGAGUGGUUCUCCUGGAGGUAUGUGUGUAAGGCCUGUGAUCAACCUAGCACUACGAAGAAAUCAGGUUAACAUAGUUGAGUGGACGAUAAAUUGCCAAAAUCUUGGUCAGCUCGAGCAGAUAAUUGAUCCUUUUCUUUCAGGGACUAUUACUCUUGAUUAUCUUGUGAAAUUUGGUGGAGCAACGAGAAAUGCCUAGCAGAAUACAGUAUGAAUCUCCAACAAUUUGCAAUAUGCUCUAUAGCUGCAGCAGGAAUUUUUUUUAGCAUACUUGGUGAUGGAGGCCGUAAUAACUGUAUGCAGGACCUCCAAGAAUUUAUUUCACAAGUGGAGAAUAUAUAAAAUGAGCAUGAUAUUGUCAGGGUCUCCAGUGAUGUUACGGAUUUUGCAACAAGUUCAGUGUUCUCAUGGCAAAAAAAUCCAAGAGGAAUGUAGCUGAUUCAAUAUGGUCAAACUCACUGGUCCCUUCAGGAAAUCAGAGGAGUAUGUAUUUGAUUCUUCCUUAGAUUUCUCACUAACGAGUAUGUUAGGAGAACUGUGAGCCAAAUUAUUUGCACUCGUCACAACUUUUUGGCUGAGAGAUGAAGAAUUGUGAGCAAUGGCAGAAACUGGAGGAACUUGAAACUGGUGCAGAGGUGGAGGAUUACGCCACUGAGGGAGUGGCCCUGCUAAGAGGAGAGUCUGCAGCAGAGGGCCUGCUUCCAGAACUGCUUGCAGCAGAUUCCCCUUCUGUGGCAACGGCUUAGUAACGAGGCCAUUGAUGACGGCAGAAGCCAUAUCUUGUUCACGUUCUUGGCACUGCAACUUCAUACUUGGUAAUUCUGGAGAAGCAGCCACAUUGAAAAGAGAAUGCCGAGGAGAACCGCCAUAAGAAGGAUCCUUCUUGGGGGUGCCAGAAAGGCUGUCAGAUUCAGUGAUACUGGAACUGGCUCUCGUCUGCCUCAUAGGUGGGCUCUCUGGCUGUGUGAUCUUUGUGAUCAAAAGCUGUAGCUGUUCUCUGGCCUCAUCUCGCUCGUGAGUGAUCACUUGAAGCAGCUGCAACAACUGGUUAAUGCUCUCCUCGUUCUUUUUCAUCUCUUCCUUGGCAUUAGUGCGGAGUGAUUCCAGUUCCAAGGUAGCACAUAGAAGCUUGUGCUUUAAUUCCUCCACGCUCUGCUUAAUCAAGGAAAAAAAGGCAGAUCAAGUCAGACCAAGCAUAGAUUUGAUUAUCACAAGAUGAUUUAUCACACACUUCAUGGACCAGGCGAGAAGAAAAUUAAAAGUUAAAUCAAAUUAUGGGAACAGAAUGAUUGGCUGCAGAGAAUCUUUGCUGCACAUAAAGACCAAAGUAACACAGAGAGCAAGCAGAAGUUGGAUCAUUACUUCAGGACCCAGUUCUACACGGUCACAUCUUCAGGAACAAGAGAAAACAGAAGAGCAGACUGCGUCACGGCAAAUAAUGGUUAUAAAUCAGGAUCACCAGUGUAUUAAGAAGGGCGAGGCCUCGGUGAAACUUAGCAAGAGAAGAGAAGACAGGAAGAAGGAGAGAUCACCUCAUGAAAACCCCAAACAGG